AGGCGGUUCUCUAAGAGGCCCGCUAUCGGAAUGGGUACAAUUUAAACCCUUUAACGAGGACCUAUGAGAGGGCAAGUCUGGUGCCAGCAGCCGCGGUAAUUCCAGCUCUCAAGGUGUAUAUCGCCAUUGCUGCGGUUAAGAAGCUCGUAGUUGGAUCUGCGCCUUCGGACUCGGUCCUCCCAACGGGUGCGAACUGAGCUCCAAGGCUACUACUGCUGGUUUUCCCUUGAUGCUCUUCACUGGGUGUCUUGGGUGGCUAGCGAGUUUACUUUGAAAAAAUUAGAGUGCUCAAAACAGGCUAUUGCCUGAAUACCGGUGCAUGGAAUAAUAGAAUAGGAUCUCGGUCCUAUUUUGUUGGUUUUCGGAACUGAGAUAAUGGUUAAGAGGGACAGACGGGGGCAUUCGUAUCGCUGCGUGAGAGGUGAAAUUCUUGGACCGCAGCGAGACGCCCAACUGCGAAAGCAUUUGCCAAGAAUGUCUUCGUUAAUCAAGAACGAAAGUCAGAGGUUCGAAGGCGAUCGGAUACCGCCCUAGUUCUGACCGUAAACGAUGCCAACUAGCGAUCCGCCGGUGGUAAUUACGCCCCGGCGGGGAGCUUCCCGGAAACGAAAGUCUUCCGGUUCCGGGGGAAGUAUGGUUGCAAAGCUGAAACUUAAAGGAAUUGGCGGAAGGGCACCACCAGGAGUGGAGCUUGCGGCUUAAUUUGACUCAACACGGGAAAACUCACCCGGCCCGGACACCGUAAGGAUUGACAGAUUGAGAGCUCUUUCUUGAUUCGGUGGUUGGUGGUGCAUGGCCGUUCUUAGUUGGUGGAGCGAUUUGUCUGGUUUAUUCCGAUAACGAACGAGACUCUGGCCUACUAACUAGUGACAGAAUUAUUGCUGUUCUGGUUACUUCUUAGAGGGACAAGUGGUGUUCAGCCACACGAAAUUGAGCAAUAACAGGUCUGUGAUGCCCUUAGAUGUCCGGGGCUGCACGCGUGCUACACUGGAGGAAACAGCAUGCAAAACCAUUGCCGAGAGGCAUUGGUAAACCCAAGAAAAUCUUCCGUGAUCGGGAUCGGGAAUUGCAAUUAUUUCCCUUGAACGAGGAAUUCCCAGUAAGUGUGGGUCAUCAGCUCGCGCUGAUUACGUCCCUGCCCUUUGUACACACCGCCCGUCGCUGCCCGGGACUGAGCCGUUUCGAGAAAAGCGGGGACUGCUGCUGUCGGGGCUUUCGGGCCUUGGCUUCGGUGGAAACCGCUUUAAUCGCAGUGGCUUGAACCGGGCAAAAGUCGUAACAAGGUUUCCGUAGGAACCUGCGGAAG
RNAcentral lists this ribosomal RNA (1306 nucleotides) under metagenome. RNAcentral describes it as "SSU rRNA". It matches the Rfam family "Eukaryotic small subunit ribosomal RNA", at positions 483 to 1823 of the family's 1831-position model. The record is from RNAcentral.